Molecule: ribosomal RNA, 230 nt
Filed under: Candidatus Methylomirabilota bacterium
Lineage: Bacteria; Methylomirabilota (SeqCode)
Description: partial 23S ribosomal RNA
Rfam family: Bacterial large subunit ribosomal RNA
Source: RNAcentral
AUGGACGAACCUCUAGUGUGCCAGUUGUUCUGCCAAGGGCAUCGCUGGGUAGCUAUGUUCGGAAGGGAUAAACGCUGAAAGCAUCUAAGUGCGAAGCCCACCCCAAGAUGAGAUCUCCCGGGCGUAAGCCCCUGAAGACCCCUUGUAGAUCACAAGGUUGAUAGGCCAGACGUGUAAGCGCAGGAAUGCGCUCAGCCUACUGGUACUAAUCGGUCGUGCGGCUUGACCCC